CCAGGGGCUUCGUGUGUGUGUACCUCAUUUCUCUCUCCACCUCCUGUACUCCCAGGUUGGUCAGACUUCAAAAACUCAGGAGCAGAGCUCCUCUGAGACCAUCCUACACAAGUAUGAACGAGACUUCAUCGUGGGAGAGCAGGGCUCCAAAGAUGGGGUCCUCCAGAGGGCUUUCCACAACACUUCCAGGCCACUCUCAGAUACUCGGGGCAACUUUCAAUGAAACACGCACACACGAGUUUAGCAGAACUCCAAGAUGGAUAGACUUUUGCCAAGCAGGAGAAAGAUGUUUUCCCCCUCCGCCAGUAUUUGGUUGCUAUGGUGACCUGCUCCUCAAGGCCCCAAAAUAAGGGGUGAGGAAUGCGGUGCUGUGGACGUUAACGAUUGGCGGGGUGAGGAAUACGGUGCUGUGGAAGUUAACGAUCGACAGCUCAUGAAAGAAACCCUCUAUAUUUGGAGACUCUGAGCGGGACCACGCUUCACAGUUGGCAGUGAUAUUGUUUUUCUUGACAGUGUUUCAGCUUUGAUGGAUGAUAAUGAUGUAUGUGUGCCAACAUUGAUUUGUAAUUAUGAACGUUGUAUGUGUGGGGUUAUGCUCUGUUGUGCCAGUGCACAAGUAUAGCUGAAGAACACAUUUAAUACACCUCUAGGUGGCACUCAUAUGUCAAUCAAUCUAUGAAAGGCCCAACAUCAUGUAAAAACUGUCAUGAAACAUUUGUUACAAUUCUCAAUGAACAGUACCAUUGGGACUCAAUGUCUUUAUCGGAGGCCCAUCAAUAGACUGACUCUGAAGGAGAGAGAGAAAGGGUAAACUUGCCAAGGCACAAGGUAGGGGGAUGUUGCCAUUCCUUUCAUUUCCAAAACAAACAUGAGAUGAGAUGAACAUUGUGAACCAGAUGGGUUUAAUGUAUCUGGUAUUCGAACAAGAUCAGGCCAGGAUGUACUCUGGCUCUGUUCAGCUCUACAAACCUCUGUCAUGUUUUCACUAUCAGGACUCUCAUAACAAAGCCUCCAUUAACACUUUAUAAAGCCUAUAUAGAUUGUGCUGAAAUCAUUCACAAGUACAUGUCAUGGGUGGUAAAAAGAGUCAGGCCACAUUUGUCAAAGAACUACAUAUUGUUAUGUCUCUCUGCAGAUUAAAGGCUACUGAUUAUGUCAGCCUUGCUUGCCAGGUUUGAGACCAACAGCAAUCUACAUACUGUAUGUGCAUUCGGGAAGUAUUCAGACCCCUUGACUUUUUCCUCGUUUUCUUACGUUAAGGCCUUGUUCUAAAAUGGAUUUUUUU
Long non-coding RNA from Oncorhynchus gorbuscha (pink salmon), 1285 nucleotides. RefSeq lists it as uncharacterized. The transcript is spliced from 3 exons. Lineage: Eukaryota; Metazoa; Chordata; Actinopteri; Salmoniformes; Salmonidae. The record is from RefSeq and is a predicted model, not a curated record.